GCUCGUAGCAGGGAGGCAAGGCGGAGUAAAUGGUGGUCGCUUUCCCGGCCGCCGGCGACCUCCAGGACAACCUCCCCGAGCUGUGGCCGCCGACCUGGCACCACUCUGUUCCCGCUGCCGUCAGCCACCUCCCCAACCUGCAGCUGCCCGACAGAGGGACAACAAACUCAAGAGGAGGUACAUAAGAGGAAUCUCAGGGAUGAACUUGAGGAACGUGAACGCAAGAACUUCUCAUCCAAGGAUAAGUCCUAUGUUGGUAGGAUGAUGAUGUUGUAUUCAAGAACAAGAUCGUGGAGAGACCAAGAAUCCAAAAAGGUUCAUCAACAACACCAUUAAGAGUGAUUGCCAUCGCAAGUUUCUGC
Molecule: long non-coding RNA, 362 nt
Organism: Lolium rigidum
Lineage: Eukaryota; Viridiplantae; Streptophyta; Magnoliopsida; Poales; Poaceae
Exons: 3
Source: RefSeq, a predicted model, not a curated record